GUACAAUGUCCCACAUCGCUUAGA
This 24-nucleotide non-coding RNA is filed under the name Arabidopsis thaliana (thale cress). Lineage: Eukaryota; Viridiplantae; Streptophyta; Magnoliopsida; Brassicales; Brassicaceae. The record is from RNAcentral.